GAUGAAUAACGUAGCGAAAUGCGAUAAGUAAUGUGAAUUGCAGAAUUCAGUGAAUCAUCGAAUCUUUGAACGCACAUUGCGCCCGCUGGUAUUCCGGCGGGCAUGCCUGUUCGAGCGUCAUUUCAACCCUCAAGCCCCCGGGUUUGGUGUUGGGGAUCGGCUCUGCCCUUCUGGGCGGUGCCGCCCCCGAAAUACAUUGGCGGUCUCGCUGCAGCCUCCAUUGCGUAGUAGCUAACACCUCGCAACUGGAACGCGGCGCGGCCAUGCCGUAAAACCCCAACUUCUGAAUGUUGACCUCGGAUCAGGUAGGAAUACCCGCUGAACUUAAGCAUAUCAAUAAGCGGAGGA
RNAcentral lists this unclassified non-coding RNA (348 nucleotides) under soil metagenome. Its description in RNAcentral is "partial contains 5.8S ribosomal RNA, internal transcribed spacer 2, and large subunit ribosomal RNA". The stretch from base 1 to 120 matches the Rfam family "5.8S ribosomal RNA", at positions 35 to 154 of the family's 154-position model. The record is from RNAcentral.